CAUUGUGCAAAAGUAUUUUAUUUACAAAUGGCACAACGUGACAGUCAACGUGCAUGCACACCCAUCCGACCAACGUUUCAUUCAAGCGAGUGCCUCGAACGCUGAAUCUUAAACGGCCUGAUCUUGGAAGGCGGCAGGCCAGAUAGUUCCGCAGAUAGCGUCGUCCCGAACGGCUUUCUGCUCCUCAUAUAGAGCGCCGCUUCGGACCAGAACCUCUAUUAUGUGCACUACAUUGAGAACACUUCAGACAAGUAGAUUCUCCCACCGGAGCAAGUGGGCAAGUAUUGCCCAAGAGAGAACAGCGACUCGUAACUGUACCGAGGUCAAGGACGAGGUUGAGGUGAAGUAGAGUAUACACAGCCCGGAUGGUCUCUACGAGAGCCCAUGUCACAUAUAUUCACGGUGACAUGUCUAGCUAGUGAACGUCAACGUAACUCUGGCUACUUUAAAACCGAUGCAUCAACACAAAGAACAGAUUUUGACAGUGGAGGAAAAGGGAGUCAAGUUUCGUCGUGUUGACAACAUUAUGCUAAGCUGUUAGCAUGAAAACACAAACAAUGUAGACAUUGGGUCGGGGUAGGAAAUGUCCUUAGGCGUGACAGAUAAAGUACAACAGGUCCAAAAUAUUUACGGUCUCCCUCCUAUAGAUAGUAAUAGGCUACCGUAGUUUGCAGUCAGAUAAUAUCAAAGACAGCUUCCUGCAGGCAGCAAUAUUUCUGCAGGCAGCAGUAUUUCUGCAGGAUUUCACUAUAUUCGCAAAAUAUUACUUCUCUAAAUAAAUGUACAUAAUAUGGUAACAAAAAAAAUAUGAUUAAUGACAGGCCCAGUAGAAAGAGACUGUCCGAAUUCACUGCCUUGUCUUUUAUUAUUGGCUACAUCCCAAGAAUACUUAAACAGACCUCUCAGUAAAACGUUCAAGCGACAUCAUGAUGUUCAAACAAUGAAGGGUUGAGGGGAUACUUCUGGAUUUUGGAAUCGUCAACUUCUCCAGAGACUAAUUAAUAUUCAGUCUCUGUGUUAAAAGGAUACUGCAAACUAGAGCUACAGUAACAGCUACCUUUCACUUGUAUUGACACAGGACAGAGAGACAUACAAAUCAGAGACACAUUAUUGUAAAGCAGAUGAAUAGCUUCACUGCCAAAAAAAAAACAAGGUAUCUCCUUAAGGCAAAUGGGAAGGAAAGGAAUUGGAACAGACUCGGAGAAAGAGAGAGAACAAGGGGAAUAAUGGAAUGGUAACAACAGAACAGGAAAAAGUUCCCAAGCAUCGGUAGUCCCGUCAGCCGGCCAGCUUGCUGGCUACAAUGGAGGGCUUCCUCUGAGGGAUGUCCUGGGGUGUGGGGAUGUGGUCCCCGGUGAUCUCCGCCUUCUCCGCCUGGGUUACCGCGGGCAGCUGCUGCUUGUUCUUCACCUUGGCCUUGGCCAUGUUGUAGUCCCCGGAGUCAAAAUACUUUUGCUGCAGGAAGACGCGAAAAUCACAGGUUGGAUUGGUUUUAAUUACAAGGUGUUAUGUCACAGGAUCACACUACGGACAUUGUCAAGCUGCUCCAAAAACACUGAAUACAAGAAAACAGCCAUACCAUUCAAAGAGGUGAUACGACUAGGAACAAUUGCCCUGAUUUCUUAUUUCUAUACUUACGUAAGGCUGAACCCAGGAACAAUAACUGGGCCAAAAUGUUUACUUUAAAUGGUACGAAAGCAUGUGACAGUGCAUUAGCCUGAAGUUAUUUUGUUAAAAGCCAAUAAACUGGCGUGGUGAUUCAUUCAAGUUAAUGCACAAAAAUAUAACAUGACUCAAGUCAUUUAGCGUUAGAAUUACCAACUGCUUUUAAAGACAGACUUCCUGUAAAGUCUGACAUGGUUGUAGCACACUGAGGAAUCUUGGACCUCUCCUCCAUACAGAUUUGAUCCUUGAUAGUCUUAAAUUAGAACUUGUGGACUGCCUUUAAUUCAGACCACAGGUUUUCAAGGAAUUUUGUGGACCCACAAUUGUUGAUUUUGAGGUAUGUUUGGGGAUAUUGUCUUGUGGAAAGGUAAAUUCACUGCCUGAAUUUCCAGGCAUAAACAAACAGACGGUGGGUUAAAAUAUCCUGUUGUCGGUGAAAACUUUUUUGCUAUCAAUCUAAACAAAAGCCCUGGACCACUAACAGCAAAACAUCUCCAAAGCAUCCAUGAUCCACCACCAUAUUUUACUGUGGAUAUCAGUUGCUUUUCCAUGUAUACAGUCCCCUUUUAAUCUGCAACCACACCAAUGGUAAGCAUGGCCAAAAAGUUAAAUGUCUGUGUCAUCUGACAAAACAAUUCCAGUUGUAGUUCAAAUAACGUUUGGCAAAGUAUAAGCACUACAAUUUGUGGGUUAGGCUCAAUAAGGGCAUGAAACGCUUCCUAAGAGCUUGUUGAGGUGGCGUCUAACAGUUGACUCUGAGACCCGAUAAACCCCUGAUUCUGCCUCCCUCACCAUGUUUCUCACCACGCGUGAGGGCAACAUGCACAUCAGUCCUCUUCUUGGCAAAUCUUUUCCAAACUUCUGAAAUCUUUUGAUUAUUGUCCUGACUAUACAUGGUUUUUAAACUGUUAAUGGAUAUUUUAACACCCUUCACCAGAUCUGUGUAGGUCAAAACCCAUCAGUCUAUUUUGAGAAGAAAUCUUGUUUUACCCAUCGUAACAGAUGACAAAGGGAUUUUAUAUGCAUAUGACCUCAUAUUUAUUCCCCAGGGAAACAGGAGACAUUGAAAGGCAUCAAUGCAGUUCCUGGGGACAGAACAACUAAAAAGCAUAGUUUCAUAACAGACCACUUUGAUUUCAUUUUAAAUAUUCUUUAGGGGUGCCAAUACUUUUGAAAGUUGCUUUGCAUAAGAAAAGUACUACUCAAUUAUUAGUUUUGUUUUUUUAGUGUUUUUUACCAAUUUUUUUGCAUUCACUUUUGCGCAAUUUCAUGAAAUGUGCCAACACCUGAGUUGACUGGCCAGCCAACUAAAGCCAAGGCAACAAUAUAGCUCAGGUCUUGGAGUGUGUAACACGUAUAACCAACACCCACUGACACACCCCGAUAAUAUUUCCAGAUAAUAGGCCCAUAAUGUGCCUGUAGACACUGCCACACUGUUCAGUCUUAUUACAUUUAUUCUUCAUGUGAGCAAACAACACCUGCAAGUUUCAGAAACUCAGUUGAAGCCUACACUAACACUGCUGUGUCUUUCUCCACAACAAGUGCUUACUGCACCUAAUGACAUGAACGGUGUAAGUCACACAAUAAUAGCUUACGGCAGGGCUGCCCAACUCAGUUCCAGGAGAUCUACUGCCCUUUAGGUUCUCUCCCCAACUCUAAUUUAGCACACCUGAUUCUUAUAAUUAGAUGGAUGAAAUGCUAAAUCAGGUUGGACACAAAUGGGGUUCAAGAGAAACCCUACAGGACAGUAGAUGUCUAGGAACAGGGUUGGGCAGCCCUGACAUAAUUGGUCUCAAAAUAAAUAAAGAGAGGCGUAAGCUAGAAUUUGGACUAAUUACCAUUACAAUUAUUAUUAGUAGGCUAUAGAGCAAUUAUUCAUGCUCCUGACCAUUGCUCCAAUCAGAUCUAGCUCCUUAUUACAAAAUACACUGGCUGGCCAGCAAUUUCUAUUACCCUUAUUCGGUUAGUCCACUAACAAUGUUUGUAGUACAUUUUAUUAUGUUUAUAAACAAAACUAUUGUCUAAAAUCUCUGUUGGUCAGUGGGGUACCCAUUUUCAUACCCAAAGGCCACCAAUCAUAAUCAGACAAAUACAGUAGGUCUGAUUGAACCCAGGAUAUCUGGUCCUUUUCGGAUCUGUGAAGACCUCAAACACACCCCUUUCUGUAGCCGUUUUCUGAGCAGGUCGGAUCCCCCAGGUUUUGCUCCAAGAUGAGGGUACCUGGCCUUCAGUUUGACCUCUUCUGCUUUCUCUGGGCUGAUGAUCUUAUCAUCCAUCUCCUAUGUAAACAACAUGCAACACAGUCUCAGCACAGUCUCAGCACAGUUGAUGGGCGUGAAGUGACAUACUAUCACAGAUCAAGCAGCGACAGAGUAGAUUCUGUCAAUCUCUAGAUUGACAUGUCACGGUUAGGAUGGCAAAC
Esox lucius (northern pike) is the source of this 4087-nucleotide long non-coding RNA. Lineage: Eukaryota; Metazoa; Chordata; Actinopteri; Esociformes; Esocidae. The record is from Ensembl.